GUGCUCACUUCAGCAGCACAUAUACUAAAACUGGAAUGAUACUGAGAUUAGCAUGGCCCCUGCACAACGAUGACAGGCAAAUUCACGAAGCGUUCCAUUAGGGA
Bison bison bison is the source of this 104-nucleotide small nuclear RNA. NCBI's taxonomy places the organism in Eukaryota, Metazoa, Chordata, Mammalia, Artiodactyla, Bovidae. The record is from Ensembl.